Small nucleolar RNA from Impatiens glandulifera, 85 nucleotides. RefSeq annotates it as small nucleolar RNA Z102/R77. NCBI's taxonomy places the organism in Eukaryota, Viridiplantae, Streptophyta, Magnoliopsida, Ericales, Balsaminaceae. The transcript has a single exon. The record is from RefSeq and is a predicted model, not a curated record.
GAAUGAAGUGAUGAUUAAUAGGUUUCCCUAUUGGUUUGAUUGCCGAUAUGAUGGCAUAUCACGUAUUAGCUCUAUCUGAUCAUUC